UUUCCGUAGGUGAACCUGCGGAAGGAUCAUUCUUAAAUAACCUUUAUGCGAGUGCUUACGCUGACCCGCACCGUCGUGCACAUCCGAGUGCCUUCACUUAUAACCACCUCACCCCAACGUGUACUUCCGCGACUGUCUCCCUGUGGCCUGUUCGGAGGGAGGCUUACGUUUUCACAUUUCAUUUGUAUGCAGUUUAGAUUGUAUUUCUUGUUUUUGCGAACCCGCACUCAAUACCACUUUCAACAACGGAACUCUUGGCUCUCUCACCGAUAUACAACC
This 279-nucleotide unclassified non-coding RNA is filed under the name plant metagenome. Its description in RNAcentral is "partial contains small subunit ribosomal RNA, internal transcribed spacer 1, and 5.8S ribosomal RNA". The record is from RNAcentral.